UUCCUCAGUAGGGUUGAUUUUCUGUUUUGAUCUUCAGCAGAGUAAGAUCGAUUUCCCCAGUAGAUCGCGUUGGUUUCUCCGCUAUUAGCCAUCCGACUCGCUCCCAGUCAGAGUUUUUACCUGGUUUCUGAGCAGCUAUUUGUGUUUAUCCUCUGUAUGGUUGUCCUUCAUUUUAUAUGGUUUUGACCUAAACUUCCCUAUAGACUCGAUAAUAUUUCCUUUCCUCAUCAGAUCUUCUCUUUCCCCAGAUAUUGUUGAGCCUUUGG
RNAcentral lists this long non-coding RNA (266 nucleotides) under Lathyrus oleraceus (garden pea). RNAcentral's name for it is "Pisum sativum (pea) long non-coding RNA (PSAT_LNC028105)". Lineage: Eukaryota; Viridiplantae; Streptophyta; Magnoliopsida; Fabales; Fabaceae. The record is from RNAcentral.